RNAcentral lists this long non-coding RNA (382 nucleotides) under Ananas comosus (pineapple). RNAcentral describes it as "long non-coding RNA (ACOM_LNC016607)". Lineage: Eukaryota; Viridiplantae; Streptophyta; Magnoliopsida; Poales; Bromeliaceae. The record is from RNAcentral.
UUCGGCCUCAACAUCACCGACUUUCCCACUAGGUCUAACUCAGGCAUAAUAGAAAGAAUAAGCUGUAUAGUAACCAAUCUAUAACAUGAUGCUAAUAUGCCUGAACAAUAAGCAAGAAGUAUGCUCAACAUUAAAUAAAUGCAGAUUAUGCAAAUUCUUUCAUUCUUUGACUUUACUUUGUACUUUGUUCUUUAUUCUUUGCUCUUUGUUCUUUGUUCUUUAAUCAUUAAGGCUAACCCGGGGGCUUCGCCACAUUAACUUGCUUCACAUUAAGUCCAUCAUCGCAGGAACUCACCAGCUAGGACCGUCCUUCGGGUUUACUCCAACCCGUGAUGCAUAACUCCGGAGUGCAUCGCCCGAGGGGGAGCGACCGCCCUCGAGC